This 68-nucleotide small RNA is filed under the name Leeuwenhoekiella polynyae. Its description in RNAcentral is "Flavo-1 RNA". The record is from RNAcentral. Lineage: Bacteria; Pseudomonadati; Bacteroidota; Flavobacteriia; Flavobacteriales; Flavobacteriaceae.
ACUGCGCUAAGGAUUGAAGCGGCAUCCCCCAAUUGCCAUUGGGGAUAUAGCUGAAAGCCUGACGGCGA